CCUACGGGAGGCAGCAGUGGGGAAUAUUGGACAAUGGGCGAAAGCCUGAUCCAGCAAUUCCGCGUGUGUGAAGAAGGCCUUCGGGUUGUAAAGCACUUUAGUGGGGGAAGAAACAGCUUGGCCACACCAAGCCUUGACGGUACCCCAAGAAUAAGCACCGGCUAACUCUGUGCCAGCAGCCGCGGUAAUACAGAGGGUGCAAGCGUUAAUCGGAUUUACUGGGCGUAAAGGGUGCGUAGGUGGCUAUUUAAGUCGGAUGUGAAAGCCCGGGGCUCAACCUCGGAAUUGCAUUCGAUACUGAGUGGCUAGAGUUCGGUAGAGGGCGGCGGAAUUUCCGGUGUAGCGGUGAAAUGCGUAGAUAUCGGAAGGAACAUCAAUGGCGAAGGCAGCCGCCUGGGCCUGGACUGACACUGAGGCACGAAAGCGUGGGUAGCAAACAGGAUUAGAUACCCUGGUAGUCCACGCCGUAAACGAUGAGAACUUGACGUUGGUUCGUUUUACGAAUCGGUGUCGCAGCUAACGCGAUAAGUUCUCCGCCUGGGGAGUACGGCCGCAAGGUUGAAACUCAAAGUGAAGUCGACGNGAGAGAGCGACGACGACGACGACGAGGAGAG
This 614-nucleotide ribosomal RNA is filed under the name uncultured bacterium. RNAcentral's name for it is "bacterial SSU rRNA". It matches the Rfam family "Bacterial small subunit ribosomal RNA", at positions 338 to 960 of the family's 1533-position model. The record is from RNAcentral.